CUCACAGAGAUCCACCUGCCUCUGCCUCCUGAGUGCUGGGAUUAAAGGCGUGUGCCACCAUCACCCCAGUUGAAAGUCACUCUUGACUAUCCAGUCUACUUUUUCUUCCUUUGUCACUCACCCCCCAUCCAGCUCUUUCUGGAAUGAAAUGUUUCCUGAUUCUAGAACCAGAAAAUGAAGCUACUUUUCUCCUUGGCGAGUGUGAGGCUGUGAAGGCUACAGGAGCAGCAGGCUGUCCCACUGGGCUUCUCCAGAGCAGGGGCACCAGGUCAUAGAAAGACUACAGAGAGAGCUUUCUAUUUCCUGCUGAGCCCUGACGACUCUGCUUUACGGUGACUGAGGAACUGCUAGGAGCCAGCAUGUGCCACAUCUUGCCCACUGAAGUUCUUUGUCUCUUUGGGCCUGAGUUCAGCAUCCUCACCUGUAAAAUUGGGGCUGCAGACGAGAUCUGCCUGACAACGACACCAGCGAACACUUCCAAGAACUCCAGACUUCUGUUAACAAGCCAAAUCCACGAUAUUUUUGCUACGGCAGCCUGUGCAGUAUAACACACUGAGAAAUGUCCUAGGCCACACCAAUGCUGCUCUAACCCUCAGAAAGAGGGUCUUUGAACAGGCUGAAGACCACGAAUUUGGCCCCUGAAGUUUCUCCAGCCCUUGGAGGAGCAACGUGGCUGUGUGCCUUGUUCCCCAGACUUUCCUUUCCGUGGCAGAGAACACAUUUCCUGAGAUGGGCUUGAGGUCAUCUUUUUCCUCUGGUUGGGAAAUUCUGAAAGCAUGAGGUGUGUCCCACCUUCUGACAUUAUAAGGUAAGGCUGCCAUCUGCAACAUUCACUCUCAAGAACUGCUCACUCAAGCACAGCUGAGUGAAAAAAAAAAAAGAUCAUAAAAACCCGCUCAUAGCUGCUCAGUUGAGCUCAUGGGUUUUGCAUUGGGCUGUUGGCUGGCAGCAUCUGUGACAACUCAGCCGACCAGCUAUUUAUAGGGCACUCGUUUACCUGUAUGGGGUGUUAGAAGCGACCUAGAGGGGUUGGAAAGUAUGCAGGAGGGUGUGCAGGUGCUCCCCAAGUGUUACAGCAUCCUAUGUAAGGGACCGAGUCGCACGGAUGAAGACACCAGUGCCAAGUGGGGCUUGACGUCUGCAUUUUCCCGGUCUCUGGUGGUUCUGACUGGACUCCAACGAGAACAGCAUUGCUUUAGGUAGACAGAAGUGCAGUUUCCUUCAUAGCCAGUCAGUCUGUAGAAUAAGAAGGUUUACAGAUAAUGAACCAAGGACACCGGCAGAGUCAGUGAGAUCAUGUGGGUCCCGGUUGCAAAUGGUCUGUCUGAGGACAUUUUUCCACGUCAUCUCAUAACUCAGAUUUUGAUAUUUCUUGAAAAGGAAUCGAUGUGUCUGGCAGUCCUGAGGUACCAUAUUCCCAGGGGAAUGAGCCACCCUAAUGCCUCGAGACAGGACUCACCAGGUAGCUCUGACCCCCCUGUUUGCAUCACCUUGCCCACAGUUAUAAGAAUUUUGGAUUUCAGUUCCUAGGUGUGAGCGGAGCCCAUACACUACAGCCUGGAGAAACGGCUAACUUCGUAUAUUACCUUGGUGAGGCCAUCCAUACCAACUGUAGUCUGGAUGCUGCUGUGGAUUUUUUUUGCUUGCUUGUUUAUUGUGACAGGCUCUCACCCUGUAUCUCUGGCCGUCCUAGAUCUUGAAAUGUAAACCAGGCUGACAUUAAACUCACAGAGCUCCUCCUGCCUGUUCCUCCAAAGUACCAGAAUUAAAGGCAUCUGUCACCAUGCCACACGUGGAUAUCUUUCUAAAGAUAAGGUUUAUUUACAGACAAGGCUAGCCCUUAACUCCCUGCAUAGAUGAGGCUGACCCUCGAGCUUAAUCUUCCCACUGCCUCGUGAGCAUGAGUAUGCACGGGUUGCCACCUGCUUUAAGAACAAAAACAAAACCAGAGCCAUGGUGCCUUGGGCUUUGUACAUGCUAGGCAAGCCCUCUACCGCCCGAGCUACACUCCAGUCUUCUGCAAAGAUGUUUUUGAAGUUAACACUUCACCGGCGGACCUUGAAGGAAGCCGAUUAAAGCCUCAUCCAAGCAGGUGCUGAUGAUCUCAAGAGGAAAAGGAUUGACUCCUUUGAGGGGAAGGGAGUUUGCCUGCAGUGUUUUUAGACGUCACCUCGUCACUGGCCUCCAGACUGCGGACCCACCAUGUCGACUGUGGGCUUGCCAGCUUCCAUAACUGUGGGGACCAAUUCCUUAAAAUCUCUCUUUCCUCUGUUCCCCUUUCCUCUCCUCUUUCUCCCUCUCCUCUCUCUCCAUUAGCAUCACCAGCAAUAAGACAUAUUAGCAUCACGAACCCUUUGAUAUCAUAAGGACACAUAGCAUUUUAAUGGUAUUCUUUCAAAAAAAUAUAUGUCUGUCUUAGUUAGGUUUUUAUUGCUGUGAAGAGACACCAUGCUUCUGGACAUGUUGGGGUACUGAGGUCUAUUUGUGAGUAGCCGGCGUAGUGGGGAGUGCAGGGAUGUAGGGUUCAUUCUUUCAAAAAGUGACCAUUUUCUGGUGCAGCCUGGGAGCUAUGCCUUCAGAGACAGAGGCGGCAGCUAAUGAGUAAUGUUACUGUAAUAAUUGUAAUAAUAAACAGUAAUCAGUCACAUGCCACACUGAUAUCAAUAACAGUAUUUACUGAGUGUUAUUAUUACAUACUACGAGGUUCUGCACUCAGGACCAAGUUGAAUGUACUGAAUCCUACUUAGUAUUUGGAAUUGCCUAGUGUGGCCAUUGCUGUUUUCAUCACAGGGUUCCAAGGACAGAGCAGUCACAGGAAGGAACAAACCUGCUGAAGGUUACCUAGCUCCCGGGGGCCAACACAAGAUAUGAAGUGGAAAGCUGAGGAUAGUGGUGGGUCCCGCCAGCAUCACACCUACACAUCCUGAGGCUGGCAUAGAUUUUUGAUCUCCAGUAGUGGGCAGGAGCCAGGGUCUCUUCUGGAGCAUGAAGGGGAAGGCUGAAGGGGAAGGGUGAGAGAUGGCUUAUUUUACCCAGUCCCUGUUAUCCGCUCCAGGUGAGAAUACCCGUGAAGGUCACCUCCACUCCAGGUGAGCCACCUGGAUCCCUAUACACCACCGAUCUCAAAGGGACCUGGGGAUUCCUGUGUCUAGCUUGUACUUCAUAGAGCUGUCCUGGUGUUGGGUCCUGGGAGACUUCGCGUAGCUGCCCUUUCUUUUCCCACCCUGUGUCCAUUAUUCUGAAACCAGAAUUUCUUAAAAUAGUGGUGCCUGCAGGAGCAAGCUUUGCUGUUUUCAACAUCUCCCAUGCCUCACUGAACAUAUGUGGCCGGGAUGUCACAUGCCACAUGCUAGGUGCCCUGUGGGUGUGCUGUGCCACCUGGGCCACAUCAGUCCACUGGAUUCUUGCUUGGAUACCAUUGUGUUGUCAAAUUGCUCUAACGGGGUCAACUCCUCUCUGUCAGCCCAUGGUAAAGCAGAGGCUCCAGGUAGAACCUCAGCACCCGAGGGGGCUGCAUUCCCCGUGAGCACAUACCCCCAAACCCCAUCUCGAUAGCCAGGCACUAAAUGCCACUUAUGGGAUUUUGGUUUCUCUACUCAGAGAACAUGUCACUGCAGUAACAUUUUUGCAAGUGGUCACAGAUUUCUCUGUCUAGGAGUGGCUCCAGCAGCCAUCAUAACAAUGCUAAUGACCUCUGGUAGUGGCGGUGACGUCCUGGCUCAUCUCGCUGUACAUCAAAGCAGCCACAUGUGGCUCCUGAGCACUCAGUAUGUGGCUAGGAUGAAUGAGGGAUUGAAUCUUUAAUUUCAUUUAAAUUGAAUUAAUUUAUAUGUGACUAGCUCCAUGCCCUCACACGUAGCUGCUGAAUGGGCUGCCCAGAUGUCUAACAAAGGAGGUUCUGGACUUGGGCUGUGGCUGGGCUUGGGGUUGAGAUACAAGCUGCUAUGCGCAUGCCCUGAUGCAUGCCCUCUACCAUGCACGUGCCUUGGUGUAUGCCCCAUGCAGGGAGGGAGCCAGAAACAAAGAGCUCAAUAAUUUAUUCUCCACCUUAAGUGUUUUCUAGGGUCAAGUAAAGUGGAGCAGGUUCAUUUUCAGCCCUUUGCACGGGAUCAGGACUAUGAUGGCUUGAAUGAGAAAUGUCCCUUACUAGCUCUCAUAUUUGAACCUCUGGUUCCCUGUUGAUGGUGUAGUUUGGGGGGAAGUUUAUGGAACCUUCUUAUUGGAGGAAGCACUUCACCAUGGGCAGACUUUAAGAGUCCAUAAUCUCAGCCCAUUUUCAGUUCUUCAUCUUCCCCACUCCCUCUGUUUUGUGUCUUCUAUUAAAGAUGUCAUCUCUCGGCUUCCUGCUCCAGCUGCCCGCUGCCAUGCCCACUGCCAUGCCUCUCCUGCAAUGGUGAACUCUUCCACUGGCACCGUAAGCCAAAACUCUGUCUCCCAUAAGUUGCUUUUGGUAUGGAGUUUUAUCACAGCAACCAAAAGUAAUUAAUGCAAUAACCUUGGCCAGGUCACCAGCAUCAGAAGGAAGAGCUGGCAAUGCAGUAUCUGCCUGUGUCAGGAGCUUUAAAUGAGUGACCGCCCUUGUCUUCUGGGACACCUGGCUCAAGGUUGGAGGAGAAAACAGAGACUCAGCAAACACUAUUAUUCUUUCUAAGCUCCAUAGCGUGAAGGUAGCCAAGUAGGGAUUCAAACCUGGGGCCACUGAGUCCUGUGACUUUUCCCUAGAAGCCUGGAGUGUUGCCUUUUUGCUUCUGGAUGACUCUGACAUUUACCAGAUGGUUGCUGGGAUGUCCUGGAAUUGAGAGGUCAGCAGCAGAAGUGGUCUGUUUGACUUGGUCCUGUGCUGAUGGGCUUGUGACCAUUCUCAGCAUCUUUAGUUCAGCUGUAUCCCACCAGCAUGGCUCUAGUGUUAAAAAUAACCAAGAAUGACAAGAACUGGGGUUCUGCGGUCAAAAGGGCAACAUAUGUUUCUCAUUUUGUCUUUUUUCUUCCUUAAUUCUCUAGACAGGGAUUAAAUAUAAAAAAGUACUUCCUGACCAAAGACUUGGAAGAUACUGGGACGGUCAGUCACUGGUGAACUUACUGUCCAGAGAAUUCUUUUACAGGUCUCGUUGAAUUUUUAAAAAGUCUUUGACAGUAUAAUACACAUAUGUAAUA
Non-coding RNA from Myodes glareolus (Bank vole), 5154 nucleotides. The record is from RefSeq and is a predicted model, not a curated record. NCBI's taxonomy places the organism in Eukaryota, Metazoa, Chordata, Mammalia, Rodentia, Cricetidae.